RNAcentral lists this unclassified non-coding RNA (2339 nucleotides) under Polistes canadensis. RNAcentral's name for it is "fidgetin-like protein 1, transcript variant X3". The record is from RNAcentral. Lineage: Eukaryota; Metazoa; Arthropoda; Insecta; Hymenoptera; Vespidae.
CCGCUAGAUGGAGAUACAGUUAGGAGUAAGACAGCUUAAGGCACGGCAAUUUUUUAUUUAUUACUAAAAUUAUGGCUUUUUAUAAUACAAAGGAAAGUACUAAAGAAUAUAAUAAUUUCUUAGCAGCUUUUCAAGAAUUAAAGUUUUCUAAGUUAGAUCAAGAUCUAUUUAGAGUUUUAAACGUUGAACGUCGUUGUCUUGGUGUGAAAUAUUUAGCAGCAAAAAGAUCAGGCUUUGAGGAUGCAGCGAUGUGUUUGCUAGAAAAAGGCUUAAAAGAAUUUCAAUAUCAAAUAGAAAAGAGCGGAGUUUAUUGGAAUUCGAUUGAAAAUAACAUUGUUGAAACUGUUAAUGAUCCUUCACAAUGGAAAUCAGAAUUAAACGAUGUACAAACAGCAAUUGAUUUCAUAGAAUGUUUACCAUGUCAAGAUGAAAAUACUGCAGCAUGCAAAGAAAAGGUAAUUAAUGAUGGACAUAUUAAAGAUAUUGUUGAUAUGUGGAAGACACAAGAUACAAGAAAGAGGAAAUGUAAUAUACAAAGACGCCCUCAAUUUGAAACAAUUAAAACAAAUGAUAAUAAAAUAUCUCAUGCUAAUAAAAGUUCCAUAAGUAACGAAAUGAAAUUCAUAGAAUGUAAUAAAAAGGAAUUACCAAGCUUAAGAAAUGGGGUUUCUUUAUUCAAAACUGCCAGAGAUGAAUUAAAUAUUCAACAAAAUUCAAAGAAUAGGCCAGCACAAAAGAAGACAUUAGGUGGUAAAUCUUCAGUUAAAUCUCCAUUUGUAUGUCCUUUAAAACGUGAGGAAGAUAAAGUAAUGCAGUAUCAAAACAGUAAAAAAGAAAAUGAAGGUGUUUCAGCAGAUGUAGAAGAUGAAAGGAUGAAAAACAUUGAUCCGAAGUUGAUAGAGUUAAUAAAAAAUGAAAUCAUGGACUUACGAACAUCAGUUUCUUGGGAUGACAUAGCAGGACUUGAAUAUGCUAAGAAAAUUAUUCAAGAAGUCAUUGUAUUUCCUAUGUUGAGGCCUGACAUUUUCACCGGCCUACGUAGGCCACCAAGAGGAAUUUUAUUAUUUGGACCUCCUGGUACAGGGAAAACAUUGAUUGGAAGAUGUAUCGCAGUGCAGAGUAAAUCAACAUUUUUUUCUAUAUCAGCAAGUUCCUUGACUUCAAAGUGGAUAGGGGAAGGAGAAAAAAUGGUUAGAGCAUUAUUUGCUGUUGCUAGAGUCAAUCAACCGUCAGUUGUUUUUAUAGAUGAAAUAGACUCUUUGCUUUCUCAAAGAUCAGAAACCGAGCAUGAAAGUUCGAGAAGACUUAAAACUGAAUUUUUAGUACAACUGGAUGGGGCAGCAACUUCAGAAGAUGAUCGCAUUUUAAUCGUAGGUGCAACAAAUAGACCACAAGAAUUAGAUGAAGCAGCGCGUCGUCGUCUUGUUAAAAGGCUCUAUAUUCCAUUACCAGAGUUGCAAGCACGAAAACAAAUUAUAUGCAAUUUAUUAUCAUCGGUAAAACACAAUGUCACAGAACAAGAUAUUACUGAUAUCGCUCAACAAGCAGAAGGUUAUUCAGGUGCUGAUAUGAAAACUUUAUGUACGGAAGCUAGUAUGGGACCAAUCAGAUGUAUUCCAUAUAAUGUGUUACAAGAGAUACCAUCCGAUGAGAUAACACCAGUUACACUUCAGGAUUUUAAAGAAGCUUUACAAAAUGUACGUCCUAGUGUUUCUCAAUCAGAUUUAGCCAUCUAUGUUAAUUGGGAUCGCACAUAUGGUACUGGUUCCCUACAGAACGUUAACAUCGCAAAGAUUCCACGAAAAGAGUUAUCGAGAGGAGAAACCCUCUACCAUACGUAGCAGUGAUCGUAAAACGUUAAUGGGUCGGCCACAUGAUUUUACGAUGUUUCAUAGAAGAUGUAAAAAAAGCUUAUGGAUAAAUCCUGAAUGUUCGCGGGCCUUGAGAGCUGUCCGACUUAAAACGAACAGAAUCAUCAUUCGAUUCGUUCUUUCGUUUAUGUGAAAUUUAUACUUGAUUAAUGCUUUCUCAGGUUAAAGGCAAAUAACGGAUUUUAGUUUUUCAACAUAAAAAGGAAGAGUCUCGAAGAACAUCUGGCAGAGGUCGCGUCGAUAGUAUAUCGAUACUGUGACUAUUUGAAAAAGAUCUUUUCAUUCUUUUUCUAUGCUUUAUUUCAAAUUAAUAGUAGACUUUUACUUUUAAUAAUUCUCCAGUACAUUUCAUUAAAAUAUUAUCAACGUUUUAAUACUUAACGAAGCAGUAGACUCUCCGAAUGUUUAUAAGGAUAAGAAAAAGGUCUUUUGUCUACUUCGUAAAAAAGUUCUAGCAUCGUCGAGGCA